This 433-nucleotide ribosomal RNA is filed under the name uncultured bacterium. RNAcentral describes it as "partial 16S ribosomal RNA". It matches the Rfam family "Bacterial small subunit ribosomal RNA", at positions 29 to 507 of the family's 1533-position model. The record is from RNAcentral.
AGCGAACGCUGGCGGCAGGCUUAACACAUGCAAGUCGAGCGGGCACUUCGGUGUCAGCGGCAGACGGGUGAGUAACACGUGGGAACGUACCCUUCGGUUCGGAAUAACGCUGGGAAACUAGCGCUAAUACCGGAUACGCCCUUUUGGGGAAAGGUUUACUGCCGAAGGAUCGGCCCGCGUCUGAUUAGCUAGUUGGUGGGGUAAUGGCCUACCAAGGCGACGAUCAGUAGCUGGUCUGAGAGGAUGAUCAGCCACACUGGGUCUGAGACACGGCCCAGACUCCUACGGGAGGCAGCAGUGGGGAAUAUUGGACAAUGGGCGCAAGCCUGAUCCAGCCAUGCCGCGUGAGUGAUGAAGGCCUUAGGGUUGUAAAGCUCUUUUGUCCGGGACGAUAAUGACGGUACCGGAAGAAUAAGCCCCGGCUAACUUCGUG